Molecule: non-coding RNA, 343 nt
Organism: Monodelphis domestica (gray short-tailed opossum)
Lineage: Eukaryota; Metazoa; Chordata; Mammalia; Didelphimorphia; Didelphidae
Source: RefSeq, a predicted model, not a curated record
CAAUGAAGUGGCAAGCUGUUUCUGGUUCAGUAUCCCAGGGACAGUUUGAGUGGGCUCUGGUGGUAAGAUGUCAGAAAAGGCAGUUUCCCAUUUCUCAGAUCGCUGCUCCCUUUUACAGUUUUUGUCCAGUGGCUUACCAGUAUGGCCAAGCCAAACUUACAAAGGAAGUUGAUUACAUUCUUUGACUAUAACAACCAUUCCCCAAAGGAAGGAGAAUUUGCAGUUUGGAGGCAAGUGAUUUGGAGCAAGGAUAAUGGUUUUCAAGGAGUCUCCUCACAGGACUGAUGGGAAAAUGGGCUUAAUUCAUAGAUGGAAAUACAACACAGUGAGUUAAUGACUAAAA